This 90-nucleotide small nucleolar RNA is filed under the name Eremothecium cymbalariae DBVPG#7215. Its description in RNAcentral is "Small nucleolar RNA SNORD24". It matches the Rfam family "Small nucleolar RNA SNORD24". From Rfam's summary of the family: U24 is a member of the C/D class of snoRNA which contain the C (UGAUGA) and D (CUGA) box motifs. C/D box snoRNAs have been shown to act as methylation guides for a number of RNA targets. U24 is encoded within an intron of the gene for ribosomal protein L7a in mammals, chicken and Fugu. Lineage: Eukaryota; Fungi; Ascomycota; Saccharomycetes; Saccharomycetales; Saccharomycetaceae. The record is from Rfam by way of RNAcentral.
AUCAAAUGAUGAUUCUAUUAUAUUUGCUACUUCGGACGUUGUUUUUGCAGCGAAUGAGAUAUACUAUUUAUCACCAAGAUCUCUGAUGAU